AUUGAAGGAAUUAAGGGCAUACAGUGGAUGCCUUGGCACUA
RNAcentral lists this ribosomal RNA (41 nucleotides) under Candidatus Phytoplasma luffae. RNAcentral describes it as "partial 23S ribosomal RNA". The record is from RNAcentral. Lineage: Bacteria; Bacillati; Mycoplasmatota; Mollicutes; Acholeplasmatales; Acholeplasmataceae.